RNAcentral lists this ribosomal RNA (198 nucleotides) under uncultured bacterium. RNAcentral describes it as "partial 16S ribosomal RNA". It matches the Rfam family "Bacterial small subunit ribosomal RNA", at positions 328 to 539 of the family's 1533-position model. The record is from RNAcentral.
ACGCUCGACACCUACGGGAGGCAGCAGUGGGGAAUAUUGCACAAUGGGGGAAACCCUGAUGCAGCGACGCCGCGUGAGCGAAGAAGUAUUUCGGUAUGUAAAGCUCUAUCAGCAGGGAAGAAAAUGACGGUACCUGACUAAGAAGCACCGGCUAAAUACGUGUCAGCAGCCGCGGUAAUCUGAGCGGGCUGGCAAGGC